RNAcentral lists this ribosomal RNA (464 nucleotides) under uncultured bacterium. RNAcentral's name for it is "partial 16S ribosomal RNA". It matches the Rfam family "Bacterial small subunit ribosomal RNA", at positions 338 to 795 of the family's 1533-position model. The record is from RNAcentral.
CCUACGGGAGGCAGCAGUAGGGAAUUUUCGUCAAUGGGCGCAAGCCUGAACGAGCGACGCCGCGUGAGUGAAGAAGGCCUUCGGGUCGUAAAGCUCUGUUGCGGGGGAAAAAGGCAGCCUCUGGAAAUGGGUGCUGACUGAUGGUGCCCCGCCAGAAAGUCACGGCCAACUACGUGCCAGCAGCCGCGGUAAUACGUAGGUGGCGGGCGUUAUCCGGAAGUAUUGGGCGUAAAGGGUGCGCAGGCGGUCCUGCAAGUCCGGGGUGAAACGCAGGAGCUCAACGCGUGCAUGGCUUUUGAAACUGGAGGACUGGAGAGCGUGAGAGGGCGGUGGAACUCCAGGUGUAGCAGUAAAAUGCGUAGAUAUAUGGAAGAACACCAGUGGCGAAGGCGACCGCCUGGCCUGUUGCUGACGCUGAGGCACGAAAGCGUGGGGAGCAAAUAGGAUUAGAUACCCGUGUAGUC